This 404-nucleotide ribosomal RNA is filed under the name uncultured bacterium. RNAcentral describes it as "bacterial SSU rRNA". It matches the Rfam family "Bacterial small subunit ribosomal RNA", at positions 355 to 776 of the family's 1533-position model. RNAcentral also lists the same sequence under 1 other name. The record is from RNAcentral.
UGGGGAAUAUUGGACAAUGGGCGCAAGCCUGAUCCAGCCAUGCCGCGUGAGUGAUGAAGGCCUUAGGGUUGUAAAGCUCUUUUGUCCGGGACGAUAAUGACGGUACCGGAAGAAUAAGCCCCGGCUAACUUCGUGCCAGCAGCCGCGGUAAUACGAAGGGGGCUAGCGUUGCUCGGAAUCACUGGGCGUAAAGGGCGCGUAGGCGGCCAUUCAAGUCGGGGGUGAAAGCCUGUGGCUCAACCACAGAAUUGCCUUCGAUACUGUUUGGCUUGAGUUUGGUAGAGGUUGGUGGAACUGCGAGUGUAGAGGUGAAAUUCGUAGAUAUUCGCAAGAACACCAGUGGCGAAGGCGGCCAACUGGACCAAUACUGACGCUGAGGCGCGAAAGCGUGGGGAGCAAACAGG